Molecule: transfer RNA, 74 nt
Filed under: Candidatus Avipropionibacterium avicola
Lineage: Bacteria; Bacillati; Actinomycetota; Actinomycetes; Propionibacteriales; Propionibacteriaceae
Description: tRNA-Gly
Rfam family: tRNA
About the family: Transfer RNA (tRNA) molecules are approximately 80 nucleotides in length.
Source: RNAcentral
GCGGGCGUAGCUCAAUGGUAGAGCCCCAGUCUUCCAAACUGGUGGUGCGAGUUCGAUUCUCGUCGCCCGCUCCA